GCUUAGCCUUAAACCCAGAUGUGCCCUUACACACGCAUCCGCCCGGGUACUACGAGCACAGCUUAAAACCCAAAGGACUUGGCGGUGUCUCAGACCCACCUAGAGGAGCCUGUUCUAGAACCGAUAAUCCUCGUUAAACCUCACCACUUCUUGUUUUACCCGCCUAUAUACCGCCGUCGUCAGCUUACCCUGUGAAGGCCAAACAGUAAGCAAAAGGGGCCAACCCAAAAACGUCAGGUCGAGGUGUAGCGUACGAAGUGGGAAGAAAUGGGCUACAUUUUCUAAUAAUAGAAUAAUACGAAUAGCACCCUGAAACAAGUGCCUAAAGGUGGAUUUAGCAGUAAAAAGUAAACAGAGAGUCCUUUUGAAUCAGGCUCUGAGACGCGC
RNAcentral lists this ribosomal RNA (387 nucleotides) under Tandanus bostocki (freshwater cobble). RNAcentral describes it as "partial 12S ribosomal RNA". It matches the Rfam family "Bacterial small subunit ribosomal RNA", at positions 794 to 1384 of the family's 1533-position model. The record is from RNAcentral. Lineage: Eukaryota; Metazoa; Chordata; Actinopteri; Siluriformes; Plotosidae.